UAUUAGUUGCGAAUUAGUACGUGAGUUUUGUGUAAUUGUAUAGAUUCGUAUCACAUGCUAGUAGCGUUCAGCACAAGUUAAGAGAUGAUAAAUUUAUUCGACAUUUUAAAUUGUGUUUAUCAAUCGAUUGAAGCUUUCUAUGUAAUAUAAGAAUUCCCUUAUUGCUUACGUAAUAACAUUUUAUAAACUUUAAUUCUACAAGUUUAGAUUU
RNAcentral lists this long non-coding RNA (211 nucleotides) under Ananas comosus (pineapple). RNAcentral's name for it is "long non-coding RNA (ACOM_LNC004602)". The record is from RNAcentral. Lineage: Eukaryota; Viridiplantae; Streptophyta; Magnoliopsida; Poales; Bromeliaceae.